RNAcentral lists this long non-coding RNA (203 nucleotides) under Elaeis guineensis (African oil palm). Its description in RNAcentral is "long non-coding RNA (EGUI_LNC024088)". The record is from RNAcentral. Lineage: Eukaryota; Viridiplantae; Streptophyta; Magnoliopsida; Arecales; Arecaceae.
CUUUAUGGUGCCUCUAUAAUGGGUUUCGAGUUUGAUCUGAUCAAAUCCAGUUCUAUGGGUUCACUAGAUUGUGUCGAUUUUUCUACUCAUUGAACUUCAUAAGUUUCACAUUAAAGGCAUCAGUACCUUUACCAAGGUACUUUUUUUCUAAAAGAAAUAUCGAACAACUCUUGUUCUUUAGUAUGGUAGAAGUUAUAUCCCCU